This 800-nucleotide ribosomal RNA is filed under the name uncultured bacterium. RNAcentral's name for it is "bacterial SSU rRNA". It matches the Rfam family "Bacterial small subunit ribosomal RNA", at positions 8 to 822 of the family's 1533-position model. The record is from RNAcentral.
AGAGUUUGAUCCUGGCUCAGAAUCAACGCUGGCGGCGUGCCUCAGACAUGCAUGUCGAACGAUUAAAGCUCUCUUCGGAGAGUGCAUAGAGUGGCGCACGGGUGAGUAACACGUAAGUAAUCUACCUUCGAGUGGGGAAUAACGUCCGGAAACGGACGCUAAUACCGCAUAACGCAGCGGCAUCGCAAGAUGACAGUUGUUAAAGAUUUAUCGCUUGAAGAGGAGCUUGCGGCAGAUUAGCUAGUUGGUAAGGUAAUGGCUUACCAAGGCUACGAUCUGUAACCGGUCUUAGAGGACGGUCGGUCACACUGACACUGAAUAACGGGUCAGACUCCUACGGGAGGCAGCAGUCGGGAAUUUUGGGCAAUGGGCGAAAGCCUGACCCAGCAACGCCGCGUGAAGGAUGAAGUAUUUCGGUAUGUAAACUUCGAAAGAAUGGGAAGAAUAAAUGACGGUACCAUUUAUAAGGUCCGGCUAACUACGUGCCAGCAGCCGCGGUAAUACGUAGGGACCAAGCGUUGUUCGGAUUUACUGGGCGUAAAGGGCGCGUAGGCGGCUUUGUAAGUCACUUGUGAAAUCUCCGGGCUUAACUCGGAACGGCCAAGUGAUACUGCAAAGCUAGAGUGCAGAAGGGGCAAUCGGAAUUCUUGGUGUAGCGGUGAAAUGCGUAGAUAUCAAGAGGAACACCUGAGGUGAAGACGGGUUGCUGGGCUGACACUGACGCUGAGGCGCGAAAGCCAGGGGAGCAAACGGGAUUAGAUACCCCGGUAGUCCUGGCCCUAAACGAUGAAUACUUGGUG